CAUUCACGGAGAGUUUGAUCCUGGCUCAGGACGAACGCUGGCGGCGUGCUUAACACAUGCAAGUCGAACGAUGAACCACCUUCGGGUGGGGAUUAGUGGCGAACGGGUGAGUAACACGUGGGCAAUCUGCCCUGCACUCUGGGACAAGCCCUGGAAACGGGGUCUAAUACCGGAUACUGAACCACUUGGGCAUCCAGGCGGUUCGAAAGCUCCGGCGGUGCAGGAUGAGCCCGCGGCCUAUCAGCUUGUUGGUGAGGUAACGGCUCACCAAGGCGACGACGGGUAGCCGGCCUGAGAGGGCGACCGGCCACACUGGGACUGAGACACGG
Molecule: ribosomal RNA, 329 nt
Filed under: Streptomyces sp. SID8111
Lineage: Bacteria; Bacillati; Actinomycetota; Actinomycetes; Kitasatosporales; Streptomycetaceae
Description: bacterial SSU rRNA
Rfam family: Bacterial small subunit ribosomal RNA
Source: RNAcentral